Molecule: transfer RNA, 63 nt
Filed under: Caligus rogercresseyi
Lineage: Eukaryota; Metazoa; Arthropoda; Copepoda; Siphonostomatoida; Caligidae
Description: tRNA-Met
Source: RNAcentral
AAAAAGGUAAGCUAAGUAAAGCUGAUAGAUUCAUAAUCUAUUUAUAGAAAUUUCUCCUUUUUA